This 274-nucleotide ribosomal RNA is filed under the name uncultured bacterium. Its description in RNAcentral is "partial 16S ribosomal RNA". It matches the Rfam family "Bacterial small subunit ribosomal RNA", at positions 523 to 796 of the family's 1533-position model. The record is from RNAcentral.
AUACGGAGGGUGCAAGCGUUAUCCGGAAUCAUUGGGUUUAAAGGGUCCGCAGGCGGAUUAAUAAGUCAGUGGUGAAAUCCUCUCGCUCAACGAGAGAACUGCCAUUGAAACUGUUAGUCUUGAAUUCGGUCGAAGUAGGCGGAAUGUGUCAUGUAGCGGUGAAAUGCAUAGAUAUGACACAGAACACCGAUAGCGAAGGCAGCUUACUAGACCUGGAUUGACGCUCAUGGACGAAAGCGUGGGGAGCAAACAGGAUUAGAAACCCUAGUAGUCC